This 72-nucleotide transfer RNA is filed under the name Acanthoscelides obtectus. It matches the Rfam family "tRNA". Rfam says of the family: Transfer RNA (tRNA) molecules are approximately 80 nucleotides in length. The record is from Rfam by way of RNAcentral. Lineage: Eukaryota; Metazoa; Arthropoda; Insecta; Coleoptera; Chrysomelidae.
GCAUCUGUAGCUCAGUGGUAGAGCAUCUGAGCGUAAAGCAGAAGGUCUCAAGCUCAAAUCUCGACGGAGACC